Hordeum vulgare subsp. vulgare (domesticated barley) is the source of this 836-nucleotide long non-coding RNA. RefSeq lists it as uncharacterized. The transcript is spliced from 2 exons. The record is from RefSeq and is a predicted model, not a curated record. NCBI's taxonomy places the organism in Eukaryota, Viridiplantae, Streptophyta, Magnoliopsida, Poales, Poaceae.
GGUAGCCGCCGCCUUCAUCUUCUCUUCAGGCACUGGAAAGUGGAAAAGUGUGGGCGAGUUCACCAUGGUCUCAUUGAUCCAAUAUACAUUUUCCAGGCGCCAUUAUGCUUAUGGAUGCUUCUUUUGGGAGCUCAACAAAAUUAACAAAGAGUUGCUCAUGCUUGACACCCGAAGCAUGGAGUUCUCCACUGUUGAUCUUCCACCUGGAGAAUGGACUAUGAAUAUAGCCAUUGUGGAGGCGGGAGAAGGCAGUCUUGGCAUGUUUGGUAUCCGUGAUGAAACUGGCGGUGAUCUCUGUUUUUACAUUAGGAGGAAUAAAGGUCAUAGUUCUGCCCAAUGGCAUAUGGAGAAGACAAUAUCACUAGCUUCUGGGUACCGUCAUUAUAUCAAAGCUGCCACCGAGAGGUACUUGCUCCUAGCAAAGUGUGGAGACCCUUGGUGCGUGCCAGACGAGGAAUGCAUUUCAAUAGAUGUCAAUACUUUCCAGCUUGAGAGGUUUUGUGUUAAACCUUUCGAGUUUGCCAAGAAUGGAGCGCACAUAUAUACCAACUUCCCACCAUCGUUGUUGUCUGCACCAAAAAUAUGAAGUGAGCCGAUCGAUGGGGUAUUGAGCCAGAUGAGCAUAGUCGUCCUCGGAACUCGUUUGGCGCUGAGAUCUGACAGUUGUAAUAAGCAUUUGCAAGAUCAGGGUGCUUGCAGCAUUGCUAGAGUUCAAGAAGCACGGAACUGAUCAGAUAUGUUUUUGUCUAUCGCAUGUUGAUGUAUGUGGAUUGAUGAAUGCAGUUGUACUCUGUUGUCGCAUGUGACUUUGAUAUGAACCAUUUGUUAUGAAUUCA